GCAACUCUGAGCCCUUAUCCAGCCAGAGCUCAACACUUAUCUGCUACCAGUCAACCCCUAAAAAUAGCCCAUGAUGUCACCCCAAGGCCUUUCCAUUGGCUCGCGUCGCUCUCAGGGGGGCGGGCCCGCCCGUCGCCAUGGAGACCCACCCUAGAAGAUUCUUCACCGGACCCGCGGAGGCUCACGGGAUGAGACUACCAAAUGGACCAUAUCUGCAGGGAUACUUAAAACUGGCCAAGAAACUUGAACAUGUGGUCUACGCUUGUAGAUUGGAAGCAAAGUGAAGAGGGAGCAGCCAUUUGGGGCAGAAAGUGGAAACAAUGCAUUGAAGAAAGCAGAACAAGAAGACAGGAAGAGUCUGGAUCUCUGCCACUGUGAAGUGCUAUCCCAGUCCAAGAUCACCUCUCUCUAGGCUUCUGUUAUAUGUGAAAGAAUUAAAUAUCAUGAUUAUUGUGAGUUUUCUGUCAUAUACAGCUGACUAUAAU
Molecule: long non-coding RNA, 485 nt
Organism: Talpa occidentalis (Iberian mole)
Lineage: Eukaryota; Metazoa; Chordata; Mammalia; Eulipotyphla; Talpidae
Exons: 3
Source: RefSeq, a predicted model, not a curated record